GGGGAAUAUUGGACAAUGGGCGAAAGCCUGAUCCAGCCAUGCCGCGUGAGUGAUGAAGGCCCUAGGGUUGUAAAGCUCUUUCAACGGUGAAGAUAAUGACGGUAACCGUAGAAGAAGCCCCGGCUAACUUCGUGCCAGCAGCCGCGGUAAUACGAAGGGGGCUAGCGUUGUUCGGAAUUACUGGGCGUAAAGCGCACGUAGGCGGAUUGUUAAGUGAGGGGUGAAAUCCCAGGGCUCAACCCUGGAACUGCCUUUCAUACUGGCAAUCUUGAGUCCGGAAGAGGUGAGUGGAAUUCCGAGUGUAGAGGUGAAAUUCGUAGAUAUUCGGAGGAACACCAGUGGCGAAGGCGGCUCACUGGUCCGGUACUGACGCUGAGGUGCGAAAGCGUGGGGAGCAAAC
RNAcentral lists this ribosomal RNA (400 nucleotides) under uncultured bacterium. RNAcentral's name for it is "bacterial SSU rRNA". It matches the Rfam family "Bacterial small subunit ribosomal RNA", at positions 356 to 773 of the family's 1533-position model. The record is from RNAcentral.